Trichoplusia ni (cabbage looper) is the source of this 457-nucleotide long non-coding RNA. RefSeq lists it as uncharacterized. The transcript is spliced from 3 exons. NCBI's taxonomy places the organism in Eukaryota, Metazoa, Arthropoda, Insecta, Lepidoptera, Noctuidae. The record is from RefSeq and is a predicted model, not a curated record.
GGUAUAGUAACUUAAGUUGUGAAUUUUAGGUGAUAGAAUUUUGUUAAAGAUAAACUAGGUUGUAAUAAAUAUUAGACAAAAUGGCAGAUUUAGACAUAAAAAUUAAGAUAGAAGAUAAUGUAGAUGCAAGAAAAGAUCCUACCUCAUUUUUACCUGAGGAACCAAUGUCCUAUGAAAUCAAGAAGAAGAAAAAGAAGAAGAAGAAAGUUCAGGAAGACCCGUUUAAGGAUAUUGAUAAUACAAUGGAUGUCAAACUUGAGCCAACAAUCAUUAUAGACCCAGAGUUAACAUAAAGGUUGAGAAUAUAGAGGUGGAAUUAGAUUUCAAUGAUUUUGCAGACAACAGCGGCUUGAUGGUAGAAGGUCCUCACAGUGAAGACAGUCAGGAACCAGCAGUAAAAAUCGAACCUCACAACCAUGAGGCCGUCCUUCUAACAUUCGAGAGUGUCAUCAACAAC